This is a long non-coding RNA of Salvelinus namaycush (lake trout), 1234 nucleotides long. RefSeq lists it as uncharacterized. Lineage: Eukaryota; Metazoa; Chordata; Actinopteri; Salmoniformes; Salmonidae. The transcript has 14 exons. The record is from RefSeq and is a predicted model, not a curated record.
AUUUCAGCCUUUUUUGUCUGACAUGAGGAUGAAGGAGAGACGUGUUCAUUUGUCGUCUGGAAAACAUUCAUCUCAAUUGGAGUCGCUUCAACUCUAUUCAAUAUGUUUAAGGGAAACCUGACUGGAAUAUUACUUAACAACUCCAUUGAAAAACACUCCAUUGAAGUCAAAGCAUUGUUGCUUUGACAGGAUUUGAUGGCUUGAUUUAAAGGAUUGUUCCUGUCUGGACUUGAAUGGGGGUAUAUGGACUUAUGCAUCCUGCAGGUGACUCCCUAAACUCCAGACCAAGUGCAAGGACAACUUGACAACUAUGGAAUGCUUCAACUAUUCAAGGAAUAAUGUAGACGAGACAGGAGAUGCUUAGGCUGGAUUGAUGGCUCAAUUGGAGUCGAUGCAAGGGAAACCUGACUGAAAUAUUACUUUACAACUAAAUUGAAGGAAUAAUGGAGAUGCUUGGGCUGGAUUGAUGGCUCAAUUGGCGUCGCUGCAAGACAAAGCAUUGUUGCUUUGACAGGAUUUGAUGGCUUGAUUUAAAGGAUUGUUCCUGUCUGGACUUGAAUGGGGGUAUAUGGACUUAUGCAUCCUGCAGGUGACUCCCUAAACUCCAGACCAAGUGCAAGGAAAACUUGCAAGCUACAUGAUUUCAACUAUUCAAGACAAAGGGGUGGCGGGUAGCCUAGUGGUUAGUAACCGAAAGGUUGCAAGAUCGAAUCCCCGAGCUGACAAGGAUUGUUCCUGUUUGGACUUGAAUGGGGUAUACAGACUGCUGCAUCCUGCAGGUGAUGACAACGCCAGACCACUUGGCUCGACCACCACUGGCAGGGUUCAGUGAUGUGCUGAUCAAUUGUCAAUCCCUGUGGUUACAUCUGUGGGGUUGGUGUGUUUAGGGUGAUGAAAUAUUUUUGGGCUGGGUUGAAUGGUUUAUUAAAAAAUAUAUAUAAUCAUGACUAAUUCUUGAGCAUUUCAGACAGGCUGAGAUUAUUUGGCAUUUCUAACUUUUCAUUUUAGUCGGUGCAGUAGAAUAUAAAUCCCGCCAGUUGGGAGGGUUUAUUAGUAAUUGCGUGUGAACAAACAGCUGACCUGUACCACUAGUUCAUAUGAUCAUUGCAUAAUCCUGACAUGUCAGUGUUUCUGAACAAAUGUACCACAAUGAAAUGAUUGUAUUACCUCAAUUGUGGGCCGAACUGCAUGAAAGUGACUUUCAAAUGGUGUAAAAUAAAAAUAAAUCCAUAAU